GGAGGGGGUUUAGCGUUUGUUCGGAAUUACUGGGCGUAAAGCGCACGUAGGCGGACUGGAAAGUAUGGGGUGAAAUCCCAGGGCUCAACCCUGGAACUGCCUCAUAAACUAUCAGUCUAGAGUUCGAGAGAGGUGAGUGGAAUUCCGAGUGUAGAGGUGAAAUUCGUAGAUAUUCGGAGGAACACCAGUGGCGAAGGCGGCUCACUGGCUCGAUACUGACGCUGAGGUGCGAAAGUGUGGGGAGCAAACAGGGAUUAGAUACCCUGGUAGUCCACACCGUAAACGAUGAAUGCCCAGUCGUCGGGUAGCAUGCUAUUCGGUGACACACCUAACGGAUUAAGCAUUCCGCCUGGGGAGUACGGUCGCAAGAUUA
Molecule: ribosomal RNA, 373 nt
Filed under: uncultured organism
Description: partial 16S ribosomal RNA
Rfam family: Bacterial small subunit ribosomal RNA
Source: RNAcentral